This is a long non-coding RNA of Oryctolagus cuniculus (rabbit), 1194 nucleotides long. The record is from Ensembl. Lineage: Eukaryota; Metazoa; Chordata; Mammalia; Lagomorpha; Leporidae.
AUGGACCCACACAUGCAGAGAUCCCCCAUACUCAGGCACAUACAUUUAUAUACCUGCUGGGUGCUCACAGAUAUUCAGAGCUCCCCAAACUCAGGCACACACAUGUACACACCUGCUCUGUGCUCACACACACCUGCAGAGACCCCACACCUAGGCACACACAUGUACACACCUGCUCUAUGCUCACACACACCUGCAGAGACACCAGACCUAGGCACACACAUGUACACACCAGCUCUGUGCUCACACACACCUGCAGAGACCCCACACCUAGGCACACACAUGUACGCACCUGCUCUGUGCUUACACACACAUGCAGAGACCCCACACCUAGGCACACACAUGUACACACCUGCUCUGUGCUCACACACACCUGCAGAGACACCAGACCUAGGCACACACAUGUACGCACCAACUCUGUGCUCACACACACCUGCAGAGACACCAGACCUAGGCACACACAUGUACGCACCUGCUCUGUGCUCACACACACCUUCAGAGACCCCACACCUAGGCACACACAUGUACACACCUGCUCUGUGCUCACACACACCUGCAGAGACCCCACACCUAGGCACACACAUGUACACACCAGCUCUAUGCUCACACACACCUGCAGAGACACCAGACCUAGGCACACACAUGUACACACCUGCUAAGUGCUCACACACACCUGCAGAGACACCAGACCUAGGCACACACAUGUACACACCUGCUCUGUGCUCACACACACCUGCAGAGACCCCACACCUAGGCACACACAUGUACACACCAGCUCUGUGCUCACACUCACCUGCAGAGACCCCACACCUAGGCACACACAUGUACACACCUGCUAAGUGCUCACACUCACCUUCAGAGACCCCACACCUAGGCACACACAUGUACACACCUGCUAAGUGCUCACACACACCUGCAGAGACCCCACACCUAGGCACACACAUGUACACACCUGCUCUGUGCUCACACACACCUGCAGAGACCCCACACCUAGGCACACACAUGUACAUACCUGCUCUGUGCUCACACACAUGUGCAGAGCCCCCCAUACUCAGACACAUACAAGUACACACCAGCUUUGUGCUCAUACACAUGUAUAGAGCCACCCAAAUUCAGACACACAGAUGUACACACCUGCUCACACAUACGGUGUACCUCCACGCUCAGGCACAUGCCCACGCCUGGGUUUUCUGA